This 252-nucleotide ribosomal RNA is filed under the name uncultured bacterium. Its description in RNAcentral is "partial 16S ribosomal RNA". It matches the Rfam family "Bacterial small subunit ribosomal RNA", at positions 524 to 776 of the family's 1533-position model. The record is from RNAcentral.
UACAGAGGUCUCGAGCGUUGUUCGGAUUCAUUGGGCGUAAAGGGUGCGUAGGUGGCGUGGUAAGUCUGGUGUGAAAUCCCGGGGCUCAACCCCGGAACUGCACUGGAUACUGCCAUGCUUGAGUACUGGAGAGGAGAUUGGAAUUUACGGUGUAGCAGUGAAAUGCGUAGAUAUCGUAAGGAAGACCAGUGGCGAAGGCGAAUCUCUGGACAGUUCCUGACACUGAGGCACGAAGGCCAGGGAGCAAACGGG